GGGUGCUCAGGAUCUUUUGUCCUGAGCUUUUAGCCCGGGACAAAAAGAGAAAAGCCCCACUUGAUGUUAAUCAAAGUGAGGCUGCUCUUUACGACCCACAACGUAAAGGUAGCCUUUUACCUGCUGAAAAGCAAUGGAGAAGGAGGCGCAAAG
RNAcentral lists this antisense RNA (153 nucleotides) under Erwinia sp. JUb26. Its description in RNAcentral is "sok antitoxin". It matches the Rfam family "sok antitoxin (CssrC)". From Rfam's summary of the family: Also identified in Shigella as CssrC. The record is from RNAcentral. Lineage: Bacteria; Pseudomonadati; Pseudomonadota; Gammaproteobacteria; Enterobacterales; Erwiniaceae.